Molecule: ribosomal RNA, 253 nt
Filed under: uncultured bacterium
Lineage: Bacteria
Description: partial 16S ribosomal RNA
Rfam family: Bacterial small subunit ribosomal RNA
Source: RNAcentral
UACGAAGGGGGCUAGCGUUGCUCGGAAUCACUGGGCGUAAAGCGCACGUAGGCGGAUUGCUAAGUCAGGGGUGAAAUCCUGGAGCUCAACUCCAGAACUGCCUUUGAUACUGGCGACCUUGAGUCCGGGAGAGGUGAGUGGAACUGCGAGUGUAGAGGUGAAAUUCGUAGAUAUUCGCAAGAACACCAGUGGCGAAGGCGGCUCACUGGCCCGAUACUGACGCUGAGGCGCGAAAGCGUGGGGAGCAAACAGG